RNAcentral lists this ribosomal RNA (30 nucleotides) under Bifrenaria grandis. Its description in RNAcentral is "Rudolfiella grandis partial 26S ribosomal RNA". RNAcentral also lists the same sequence under 3 other names. Lineage: Eukaryota; Viridiplantae; Streptophyta; Magnoliopsida; Asparagales; Orchidaceae. The record is from RNAcentral.
GGAUGGGCGAGGCCACCCGCCGAGUUUAAG